AUGGCCGAAACUUCCGGUUGCAGCCCUGCAUGCAGGAGAGGCCUGAGCAGAAACCAUACAUGGUGGGUGAAGAGAAGCCGGGAGGCCAGCCGAGAUCAGAAGCUCGUUGUACAGACAACUGACUGGCGUGAUUGUAGAACCACAAGGGUGGAGAAGAAAAGCACAGACACACGGACCUUCAUUCAGGAGCCCUUCAGGACACAGGCAGCCGAGUCCCAGCUCGGGCUCAGAGCCUGGCUCAGGUGUGUCCUCUCCCAGACAUUGAGCUACACGGUCACCUCCUGCUCACAGUGCUUGGCUGAGUCAGGAGCUCUGCGUGGGGAACGCUGCGAGGGACGAGGGCCAGGAAGUGGAAGGAAUGGCAGAUGCGGGACUAGGAAACUCACAGGCUUGUAGGAGACGAACUCCAGGAAGGACCCAGGCGUCCCAUCUAAGGAGAUGGCCUCAGGGGAGAUCCAUCUGUGCCUUGGUUCAGGGGACCAUGAGCAGGCCAGGUGAGUCUCCCCAGGUGUGCAGGCUCCAGCCCCGAGAGACAUUGCCCCAGUAUGACCAGCUUUCUGUUGUUGCAGCAAAAUACUGGAAACCCCCGCUUUAGAGCAGGAGAGGUUCAUUCUGGCUCCUGGUACCAGCGGGUUCAGUCCAUGGUCAGCAGGCUCCCAAGUGGAAACAUGGCGAAAGAGCCUGCAGGGGGAAGACCCAAGAGGAAGGGACGAAGGACCAGGGAGAGCCCCCAAGUUCACACCUCUGUGACCCAUUUCCUCCAACUUGGCCCCUCUUCAUAGCGCUUUCUGCUACGAAAUCGUCAUUGGGUCAUCACAGACGAGGUUGGUCCUUCACAUCCAGUCAGCCCUCCAGGCUCUAUCAAGGUAGGCAAGUUGAAACUUGAGAUUAACUGGCAAAUCAGAUGCCACUGCCCAGGGGUCCCCAGAGGGGGUCCCCAGACCCAUGGCGCCAGUGUGCUGGAAACAGUAGGAAGCCCUCGGGAGCCUACUGAUGGGGUGCAGGUGAUUUGGAAGCCUUUAUUUUGGGACUGAGUUUCGUUGAGGCUGGGCUAACACUUGUGAUCUUCCUGCUUCGGCCUCCCAGAAUGCUGGGAUUACAGGCGUGCUCCAUCACCCCAGUUUAAUUCUACUUUCUACCAAAGUGAUGCAUGCAGCUUAUGGGUGAGGUUUCAUGUAUCACUGAGCAGUCCUGAGCCGUCUCUCUUUUCUGCGUCCGGGCCUCGUUCCUCAGGGCUGGCCUCCAGGGCUGUUUGUGUGUGUCCUUCCGGGGAUGCUCACUCAGUGAGCUGUAGUCUCUCCCCUGCUUUAAAAUCACUUAGAGCGUUUUGCAUGUCAUCAGUUCAGGUCUACCACGCCCUUUUUUAUUGGUUUGUAUUUUGCUUUUUUGAGACAGGAUCUUGCUGCAACCCAGGCUGGCCUUAGACUCGUGAGAAUCCUCCUGCCUCAGCCUCCUGAGCAUGAGUGCUGGGAUUACAGGUGAGUGCCAGCUUGCCUGACUGCUGCCUACUUUACAGACUGCAGUGUGGGCUGGAGGAUAUUGUGUAGCAGAUUGAACACACAGCAGAAGGAAUACUUAGCUUGUUUCCCGUCAUCUUCCUGGAUUCUGCGAUGCAGAGUGGGUGUGGUGGGCUGGGUCACCAGGCCCCAGGGGUCACAGGUCACCGGGGUCACAGGUCACAGGGGUUGGCCUUGCACAUUCUUGGCUGCUCCUGUAGACCACCCUCGAGCUAGGCCACCGCUGGUCCUCCUGCAUGGCCCAGACUUGCUGGAGAUUGGCUUCACCAAGUGGACCCCUGCUGUAUGAUGGUGGAUUAAAAGCCCGUGAGACG
Molecule: long non-coding RNA, 1831 nt
Filed under: Fukomys damarensis (Damara mole-rat)
Lineage: Eukaryota; Metazoa; Chordata; Mammalia; Rodentia; Bathyergidae
Description: lncRNA (ENSFDAG00000033234.1)
Source: RNAcentral